UACGGAGGGUGCAAGCGUAGUUCGGAAUUACUGGGCGUAAAGGGCGCGUAGGCGGCUUGUCGGGUCUGAUGUGAAAGCCCGGGGCUCAACCCCGGAAGUGCAUUGGAAACUGGCAAGCUUGAGUUCGGAAGAGGAGGGCAGAAUUCCCGGUGUAGGGGUGGAAUCCGUAGAUAUCGGGAGGAAAAUCAGUGGCGAAGGCGGCCCUCUGGUACGAAACUGACGCUGAGGCGCGAAAGCGUGGGGAGCAAACAGGAUUAGAUACCCUAGUA
Molecule: ribosomal RNA, 269 nt
Filed under: uncultured prokaryote
Description: partial 16S ribosomal RNA
Rfam family: Bacterial small subunit ribosomal RNA
Source: RNAcentral